GACGAACGCUGGCGGCGUGCUUAACACAUGCAAGUCGAACGGAAAGGCCCUGCUUUUGUGGGGUGCUCGAGUGGCGAACGGGUGAGUAACACGUGAGUAACCUGCCCUUCACUUUGGGAUAACUUCAGGCAACUUGGGCUAAUACCGGAUAGGAGCUCCUGCUUCAUGGUGGGGGUUGGAAAGUUUCGGCGGUUGGUGAUGGACUCGCGGCUUAUCAGCUUGUUGGGGGGGUAGUGGCUUACCAAGGCUUUGACGGGUAGCCGGCCUGAGCGGGGCACCGGCCACAUUGGAACUGAGAUACGGCCCAGACUCCUACGGGAGGCAGGAGUGGGGAAUAUUGCACAAUGGGCGGAGGCCUGAUGCAGCAACGCCGCGUGCGGGAUGACGGCCUUCGGGUUGUAAACCGCUUUCGCCUGUGACGAAGCGAGAGUGACGGUAAUGGGUAAAGAAGCACCGGCUAACUACGUG
RNAcentral lists this ribosomal RNA (468 nucleotides) under uncultured bacterium. RNAcentral's name for it is "partial 16S ribosomal RNA". It matches the Rfam family "Bacterial small subunit ribosomal RNA", at positions 28 to 507 of the family's 1533-position model. The record is from RNAcentral.